This 251-nucleotide ribosomal RNA is filed under the name uncultured bacterium. Its description in RNAcentral is "partial 16S ribosomal RNA". It matches the Rfam family "Bacterial small subunit ribosomal RNA", at positions 88 to 339 of the family's 1533-position model. The record is from RNAcentral.
GAGGAAAGUGGCGGACGGGCGAGUAACGCGUGAGUAACCUGCCCAUAAGAGGGGGAUAAUCCAUGGAAACGUGGACUAAUACCGCAUAUUGUAGUUAAGUUGCAUGACUUGAUUAUGAAAGAUUUAUCGCUUAUGGAUGGACUCGCGUCAGAUUAGAUAGUUGGUGAGGUAACGGCUCACCAAGUCAACGAUCUGUAGCCGAACUGAGAGGUUGAUCGGCCGCAUUGGGACUGAGACACGGCCCAGACUCC